UACUUCUUUUUGAUGUCUCUGACUAUCAGUUAAAUGCCCAAAUUCUCAGUUAUUACAUAUAGCAAUGAAUUAUGUACUCUUUGGUGAAAACAUAUCUUUUUUUUUUUUUGAGAUGUCAUGAAAACAUAUCAUGUAACUGUAAAAAUGCUUUGGGACUUACAGAAGAGAAACAUUCAGCUGGCAUGAAAUGUAUUAUUGCAAGCAGGCAUCCUACGACCUGUGCAUGACCUUGCUGUCAGCCAAGCCUCAUGUCUAUUUUUGUUUGUUCCUCUGCUCAGGUUUGUCUGUCUUACCUAGUUAGGAAAAACAUGAAAAUGUGUAGUUUAAAUCCUGUUCGUCACAUCCUCCGACACCGCACACACUCCAACAAUGCCAUCCUGUUCCUAUUGGUUUUAUAUGAAUUUAAGAAUCAACAUAAGGUAACAAUGAGAUGAAGUAUAUAUUGUAUCCGUUGCAAAAAAGACAUAUCAAUUUACACACCUGAGUUUACAGCAACCAUAUAUAAUUAUAUACAAUUAAGUAGUCACCCUAUUAAGCAACUAACUGAAAAUAAGCAACAAACUUAAGUCCUUAUGUUUGACUGUUAGUACUAUAUUUAGCAACAUCAGCAAGCAAAAUCAUGUACGUUUUGUAAGAGCAUUGCUUAUAAGCAGAUGAAGGAAUCUUAGUAGUGCUAAAUUGUUAAGAUUUUUUGUACAGAAAUAAAGCACUGUAAGCAGCACAAUGAAUUUCACAUGUAAUCUGAAUCUGCGCCUACCUUUUCUAAAGAUUGCAUUCUGUUUUCAGAUACAUCAAUAAUUUCUGAUACAUAAGUAAAAAAUCCAGCCAUGUAGGUCCACAAAAAUAUGUAAUUAGUCAUAAAACCUAACAAUUUCUUCUUUGAAAACCAUACAUAGAGUAAAACAGAAUUACUGUAAGGUUUCUUGCACUAAAGAAUCUUCUUGUGAACAAUAUUUUCUCUCUCUUCAGCUUAGAUUAGGUCUGUAAGUCCAUCUAUAAUACAACAGUAUUUUAAUGUAGCAUGUAGGUCUGCAAAUAUAUAUGAUUAAUAAAAACAAUCUCGGACAUAAGAUGGCUCUUUCUUCAAGGUAUUUUAGAUUUGUGUUGUUAGUCCAUAGGUGUUGAUGAUUUUUUUUCCAACUGGUUUACUCCUUUCUGCAGAAGUAAAUUUUCAGGUAUAUGUACCCAUUCCUCAUCUUCAUGAUUAUACCCUAUCAACCCAUCGCCAAUGUUUAGAAUCUACUCCGCAAAUUAUGCAGUCUUCCGGUGUUGCUCCGGAGUAUCUAUUGGUGCAGUAACACGCAUGUUCUGAUUGAGCUUGUAUUUCUCGAAGUGCUUCCAUAGGUAUAGAUACAAUUUUUUGAUUAUCGGGGGGAGCCCGACCAUUUGCUCAUCUUGAGAGUGCAAUCUCUGUAAGGAAGGUUGUCGAUGAUGAAGUUCAAAUCCAAUCUUAUAUGCAGAGGAUAAAGAAUCAUGCCUUCAAGAAACACCACAAAGCAAAAGGAUAAUAGAAGUACUGGGGACAUGAUCUCCCAGUACCAAGUGGAUCUCAUUAAGGGAAGUACAAGUACUAAUACAGUCCCUUGUGAUUACUCGAUGUUCUUUUCUCCCUUGACAUGUUUAUUAGAUUCAAACGCAGUGUUAACUUCAUGUGGUGCUGUGUGUGCAUGCAAGAAGCAAGUAUACUUACAGGAGAUCUGGGUAAUCUGAGAGACUCGAUGGAUCACCGUGCCACCGCUUCAAGUUGUUGAUGACGCUGUGUUGAGGUGCGAGCCACAAGGAGGAGAUGACUGGUAUCUUCCAGCCUUGUCAUCCUGGCGUCUUUCUUUCCGCUGCGUCCGUCGACGGGCGCCGAUAUAUCAAGGAAGGAGGAACGAUGGGACUGGGAUAUCGCUGGGCAGUCGUACAAUGACAUGCCGGCGGCGAGGGUAGGGUUUUGAGAUGGGUUUUGAUCUCGUUUUCUUUUGCGGGAUACAUGCAGAUGAAGUUUUCACGGCAAGACUGGUUGAGAGGCACUUGUUUUAUUUACGGAGUACAUGUUUUGUUUGACCGAUGCACCUUUUUUUCUUGAACAUAUGUCUGUACAUGUCUAAUGCCCACCACGUUAUAUUUGUUGACUUCUACAUCUUUUUCUCUUGAACGUAUGUCCGUGUACAUGUUACACGUUAAAUA
Long non-coding RNA from Lolium perenne, 2172 nucleotides. RefSeq lists it as uncharacterized. Lineage: Eukaryota; Viridiplantae; Streptophyta; Magnoliopsida; Poales; Poaceae. The record is from RefSeq and is a predicted model, not a curated record.